Molecule: ribosomal RNA, 495 nt
Filed under: uncultured bacterium
Lineage: Bacteria
Description: partial 16S ribosomal RNA
Rfam family: Bacterial small subunit ribosomal RNA
Source: RNAcentral
GACGAACGCUGGCGGCGUGCCUAAUACAUGCAAGUAGAACGCUGAAGGAGGAGCUUGCUUCUCUGGAUGAGUUGCGAACGGGUGAGUAACGCGUAGGUAACCUGCCUGGUAGCGGGGGAUAACUAUUGGAAACGAUAGCUAAUACCGCAUAAGAGUAGAUGUCGCAUGACAUUUGCUUAAAAGGUGCAAUUGCACCACUACCAGAUGGACCUGCGUUGUAUUAGCUAGUUGGUGAGGUAACGGCUCACCAAGGCAACGAUACAUAGCCGACCUGAGAGGGUGAUCGGCCACACUGGGACUGAGACACGGCCCAGACUCCUACGGGAGGCAGCAGUAGGGAAUCUUCGGCAAUGGACGGAAGUCUGACCGAGCAACGCCGCGUGAGUGAAGAAGGUUUUCGGAUCGUAAAGCUCUGUUGUAAGAGAAGAACGAGUGUGAGAGUGGAAAGUUCACACUGUGACGGUAUCUUACCAGAAAGGGACGGCUAACUACGUG